Long non-coding RNA from Pan troglodytes (chimpanzee), 2303 nucleotides. Lineage: Eukaryota; Metazoa; Chordata; Mammalia; Primates; Hominidae. The record is from Ensembl.
CUUUUCCUUAAAUAAAACAGGUAUUUCUCCUUGGAGUAGUAUAUACCAGCCACUUACAAUUAAAGGAGAAAUGUAAUUCUGAUCACAGCUCCUAUCAGCCGUUAUGCCUGCCCCUUCCUGUAUGUAAACAGCUUUGUACAGAAAGACAAAAAUCUUGGUGGGAUGCGGUUUGUACUCUGAUUCACAGAAAAGCACUACCUGGAAACAUAGCAAAAUUGAGACUUCUAGUUCAGCAUGGAAUAAACACUCUAAGAGCCCAGGAAAAACAUGGCCUUCAGCCUGCUCUGCUUGUACAUUGGGCAAAAUGCCUUCAGAAAAUGGGCAGCGGUCUUAAUUUUUAUGAUCAACAAGAAUACAUAGGGAGAAGUGUUCAUUAUUGGAAGAAAGUUUUGCCAUUGUUGAAGAUAAUAAAGAAGAACAGUAUUCCUGAACCUAUUGAUCCUCUGUUUAAACAUUUUCAUAGUGUAGACAUUCAGGCAUCAGAAAUUGUUGAAUGUGAAGAAGACGCACACAUAACUUUUGCUGUAUUGGAUGCAGUAAAUGGAAAUAUAGAAGAUGCUGUGACUGCUUUUGAAUCUAUACAAAGUGUUGUUUCUUAUUGGAAUCUUGCACUGAUUUUUCACAGGAAGGCAGAAGACAUUGCAAAUGAUGCCCUUUCUCCUGAAGAACAAGAAGAAUGCAGAAAUUAUCUGACAAAGACCAGGGACUACCUAAUAAAGAUUAUAGAUGACAGUGAUUCAAAUCUUUCAGUGGUGAAGAAAGUAAGUAGCAGGUUGUUGUAUGUAUGUUCUUACUGAUAACCCACUGGUCAGUGUUUUUGCGUUGGUCUUAUAUUUUGGUAAUUUCAAAAAUACUCAGUAAUAUGUUGUUAUUAAUGCACAGAAGGGAUGUGUGUGUCUAAAUGCUUAUAUUUGCUUGCUUUGUCUUAGGUUUGGUGUGUCUUUUUAAACUUGGGAAUCUAGGUAUAUGCUCUUAAAAAGUACUUCUUGGGGAAUUAGAAAAGAUUUCUAAGAUAAGACAUUGAUUUUGUUAUCUUAGCAGUUUAAUCAAAACAAAUAUUAUAACCUCAGGACUAAUUCUUAAUGAACUUUGCUGAAAUUGAAAGUUGUUGCUGACAACUUAAGAGCUUUUCUUCUCAUCCUCAUCAGCCAUUAUGAACGCCCUUGUUUUCUUGCUGUCAGCUGUUUGAGAUUGUCAUGAUGAUGUUAAAUUAUGUUCAGUCUUCUGAGUGUUUUGUUGAUUAAUUUGUGUUACUACUCUUUUAUUAGGAUUUAUGUUGUCUGGUGUAUUGUAGCAUCUGUAUUUCUGUCACCAUUGAAAAUCAGUUAGAAAACAUCAGUAACUUAUUUUGUUCACUUGGAAAAGCUUUCCAAGUUAACAUUCCUCUACAAUUAUCAUGGUUAACAGAAGUAAUAGAAAGAGCAUGGACUUUAGAAUCAGAAGAUGUUAGAUUGUACAACACUUUUCUGUGUUCAUGAAGAAAAAAAUAGAAUAAAGACAAAAAAAUAAAAAUAAUAAUACAAAACAACAGAAAAACAAAGAAAAAAGAUAAUUAAAAAACACCUUCACGUGUAUUAUUAUUUAAGUAAACAGGAAAGAAUGGAAUCAUUUCAUUGUGAAAUUGUUUCUAAGUGUUUUAAAUGCUCUUUUGUUAUUUUUAUUUUUUUUUUUAGUAUUCUCCCAAAAUACCACGUCGAUGGACAGAAGAUCAGAUUUCUUUACUGAAAAUGAUUGGCCAACAAGUAGAGGCCAUUAAGGUAAGUCACUUAAUUUCUCUAGCUGUACUUUUUAUUCCAAGAUUCCUUCCCUGGCCACUCUCUCACUUUUUUUCUGAAGCUGGUCAGAAUGUCCCCUUGCCAUCCAAAUAGUAUGGCAAGGGGACAUUUUGGUCUUUUUUUUUUUUUUAAGGCAGGGUCUUGUUGUGCAAGCUGGAGUACAGUGGUAUGAUCACAGCUUACUGCGGCUUUGACCUCCUAGCUCAAGAGAGGCUCUUGGCUCAGCCUGCCACGAAGCCAGGACUACAGACAGUCACACGCCACUAGGCCCAGCUAAUUGUAUUUUUUGUAGAGAUGGGAUUUUGCCAUGUUGCCCAGGGUGGCCUUGAACUCCUGGCUCAAACAAUCAUCCUGCUUCAGCCUCCCAAAGUGCUGGGAUUGCAGGUGUGAGCCACUGUGCCCAGCCUACAUACCUUGGUCUUGACCCUUUACCAUAUUUUGUUUUGUUUUGUUUUGAGAUGGAGUCUCACUCUGUUGCCCAGUCUGGAGUGCAAUGAUGUGAUCUUGGCUCACUGCAACCUCCACCUC